Molecule: non-coding RNA, 690 nt
Organism: Pelodiscus sinensis (Chinese soft-shelled turtle)
Lineage: Eukaryota; Metazoa; Chordata; Testudines; Trionychidae
Source: RefSeq, a predicted model, not a curated record
CAUGGAGGGAGCUGCCUGCAUGUUCAAGUGGUCUUGGGCUGCAGCAGACAGGGAGCCCAGCCUGCUUUGGGGGUGCUGCAGGCUGGGAGCUGCUUAGGACACGAUCAGCACACAUCUGUGCCAGUACCAUGGCUGCUUGGGGCACCUGGUGAACAGCUCCUGGUGGAACAAGCAGUCGACGCAGACGACACUCAUCACCAGCAAAAUGAGCAUCUGCCAGCACGAGCUUUCCAAACUCAGAAACACCAUCCACAAGAUGAAGCAGCGACCAGCAGCACGGUCCCCGUCCCCCUGUGAAGUAGCCUGUCCCUUUGCCGGCACCGGAUGGAAGGAGAUCGCUGCCGGGCCCCAGCUCUCUAAGGAGCUUCUUGAGUACUUGAAGGAGCUGCAGUCCCCCUGUGGCUGAAGACAGUCUGUGUGUGUGUGUGUGUGUGUGUGUGUGUGUGUGUGUGUGUGUGUGUGUGUGUGUAUAUAUAUAUAGAGUGGUGUGUUUGUGCAAAGCUCUGUGUGUGGGUGCACAAGAAGAACAGUUAUGAGACCAUGGCUUGGAUUUUCCAACAUAUGCUACUGAUGUCUCCUGCGUCCCUUGGUGUGCUGCUAAUACCUUUGCUGUUAAUAAUUAUAUUUAAUAACUAUUGUCUCUCUCAACUUCCCCCAGAGGCCGCACUAGGUGGCAAGUAUAUUUUUAAA